Long non-coding RNA from Mauremys reevesii (Reeves's turtle), 755 nucleotides. RefSeq lists it as uncharacterized. Lineage: Eukaryota; Metazoa; Chordata; Testudines; Geoemydidae. The transcript has 3 exons. The record is from RefSeq and is a predicted model, not a curated record.
CUGCCACUCAUCCUGUGUUCACCCAACCCCCAUGUGCAAAGAGGCACAGGAAAGGGAGGGGUGGUCAAAAGAAGGCACUCAUCUUCCCUGUAGCAGAACCUUAAAGGCUAGCUUGUCUUCUUCCCACCCAGUCUGAUCAUUCACCCUUCCCAUGCUUGAGAAAUAGCACUGAGUUAAAGGCUAUCUGGACACUCUUCCGACAUAAACCUGAGAAGCAAUGGACCUGGAGUGUAACUCAGGGAGGUUCUGACAUCCAGGAAUCUGAUUGUUGAGACUUGCAUUUCAGCUCAUUAAAGAAAGAACUAAACAGUACUGCUGGAGGCCUCGGGAAUCGUUUUUCCUGGAAAUAGUGCAAAGGACGUUGGGAAUGCCUCGGCGUGCCAAGAGUUUCUUGGACUGCUGUCAGAAACAAUACCUCUCCAUGGUUUGCGUUCCCCCUGUGAUGACUGAGCUCAGCUUUUUUGGCCUGGGAGCCACUUAUAUUUCAGAAAUGUUAUUGUUACCAGCACGUUACGACAUACAGGCUGGGGAAAGAAGGGUUAUGAACACAGGAAACCAGGUUGCUUGGGGCCAGCUGGAAGGCACAAAGCAGUGUUAGGGCUGCUUUUUUGAUGAGGUUAGAGGGCUAUAUCUCCAGAAACUACACUGUGUAUCGAGAGGUUGAAUUAAAAAAAAAAAGUUUUGUUUCAAUAUUUAAAUGCACUGAAGGGUUUGGCUUUGGUGUAUAUCUAAGAUAUUUGCUGUAAAAAUUAAUC